Long non-coding RNA from Bos taurus (domestic cattle), 1654 nucleotides. Lineage: Eukaryota; Metazoa; Chordata; Mammalia; Artiodactyla; Bovidae. The record is from Ensembl.
GGAAUUAGAUCUCAACCCGUUUCCCAUGUCCCCCGUAGAAACUAACACAAGGCCUAUUGGGAAGUGGAUUCAGCUGUGCUUUAGAACUGCCUAAAACCCCUUCCAGGGGCGCCCCUCCAUCCCCUUGCCGGACCACCAGCCCAGUAGACCAGGUUGGGGGAGGCAGUCCCCAGCUCACCAGGCAAUCUCUUCCAAAGGGCUCCAGGGGCUUCUAACAUGCAACUAGGGCUGAGAACAGCUGCUAAGAUGAAAAAGGGGGUGGUAGUGGAUUACAGUUUCUCAGUUACCUGUUUUGCGCGGCAACACUGCCCGUGCAACCACCAAGCCAUGCUGGAUGGGCAGCAAGAACCCUACAGGUGAAAGAAUGCAAGAAACCACUCCAGUUUCCCACAAGUUCUCUGGCUACCAUGUCAGACGCCUCCUGAGCAAACAGCCCAUCAGCGAGUGGCCCCCUUCGCCGGAGCUACUAAGACAGCAGUCACCCGUUCAUCAGCAGCCCCAGCCCAGACCUGCAGAGUCAGAAGGGCUGGAGCACAGCAGUCCUCUUCCCCAGGCACAUCUGAGAAGCCUGAUUCAAUUUGGGAAGACCACCCACCAGGCACUCCACCCCCCCACUCUGAAUCAUCCCAGGAUUUGAUCCACUUUGCAAAGGUGGCUUUCCUUUUCUAAAAAGGCUGCACCCACUGGGGUGUGCACAGGGCUCCUGCGUCAGCGAGGUGGAGACUCUACCUGCAAACAGAUGAGAGGCCUCAGGACUGAGAGGCUGCACAAAGGGACCUUUAAAACCGACAAGGAAAUUAGCUCUUGCUCUGGCCCUAAGGAAGCUGGAUCAGGACUAAAGAUAUCUAGUCAGUUUCUACAAAUAUCUGCUCCUCAGAGAGGCUUAUGGAGCCCCCCAGUACUGCCACCAAUCUCCACCUCCAUCUCUUGAUCCUACUGUAAUUUUCUUUCAUGGCACUUAUCACUUCUGGAAAUUGUAUGGAUAUCUGUUGUCUAUUAAUUAUCAGCCUCCACCGAUAGAAUAUCAGCACAAGGACAGGAAUCUUGCAUUUGGUUCACUUCUAGAGCAGUAGGACUUAGAGUAGACCAGCAUGUAAUAGGGAGUAAUCAGUAUUUGUUGAAUGAAUGAAGGAAUGAAUGCAUGACAGCACACACACUCCAGCAGAGCAAGAACUGGCUCGCUCCGCUCUGUGAGCUCACCUCACGCUGCCUGGUAAGCAGGCAGAGCCUUAAAGUCUCCUUGAAUCAAUGAACAAGGUGCAAGCUUGUUUUUAAACUAUGAGCCCCAACACCUACACAAUACUUCAUCCAGACUGCCCUUUAUCAGGCUGAGCAGUUGCCAGGCUAUUGCUCAGUGCGUGUGUAAAAGGAGCCAAGGGGAUGCUGAACAUUUUAAAGGUUGACAAACAUUAUUCCAAAAGUAUGGCUUCGCAUUUGGCCAGAGGUUAAAACCUGGAGAACCCGAGGUAAUAAAGGACUCCCAAUCCUGAAGGAGGGUUGCAGCUUGUAGGGUAUUUGUCUUCCUCCUCACUCACUCACUCCUCCUGGUUCCAAAUACCAUUAUUUACCAUCACAGCAGUAAGAGGUCACGGCCAACCAAAUUCCAUUAUAACGCUCAAAUUGUACCUUUGCUUGCACUUAGGUUAAAUUUAGA